ACAGAGAUGGGCGGAGCUUAUACCGACUCCAAACAAUUUUGUUGAUAAUGGUAAAUGCCCAUAAGCAAUUUUUCAUUUAGUGUUUUCAUGGUUUAUAUGAUAAAAUAAGACUUUUCAGUUGAAUAUAUUGUUGAAGGAACGUACUAUUUAAAAGCUUUUUAUUAGUUUUUCCCCAGGAGAGUUAAUUUAACAUAUUAAUUCUGCUUUAAACUUGAGGUUUUUAAGAUCUAGGACUGCUUCAGAAUGGGUAUGUGCUAUGUUCCAGACUGUAAACAUUACAGUUCAAAGCAUCCAUGAAGCGAACUGUAAAAAACCUUGUGACCGAGCUACUACCAGGACCUUCAACCGAACCACUACCAGGUCCUUCAACCAAACUACUGCCAGGGUCUCAAAACGAGAUCAUGAAGUGACUCAAAUUAAACUUGUUGCUUCACUACUGAGUCCAUAAUCUGCAUUUCAAGAUGCUGAGAAUUACUUUUUGAGGCAACAGGUGGUUGAAUUAACUGAGGAGCUGGAAAAGUUAUUAACAAGGUUCAGCUAUGAAAUUGUGAAGAACAAAGUUGUUCAUGUACUAAUGUAUACUGGUAUUCCAACCAAUGAGCUGUUCAUGGUUCUUUUUAAACUAAUGGACAGCAUUAAAUUAAAAUAUUAUGCUGGAUGGAAUGUUCAGAUCAUUCCUAAAAUUGAUAGGAUAAUUUUGGAUUGCCCCGAAAUUUAUUCAGCAGUUCCAGCAAGCAUGGAAAACCAGAGAUUGACCUACAGUUCAUACAAACACUGAAACACAUGAAAAAUGUUGGUAGGUGUUGGGUAAUCACCUUUGUUAGCAAGGUUUAUCCAGGGUCUACAUCUGAUAAAAAAAUUGUUGAGGAGAGUAAGGUUCUAGAUCAGAUGGUGGCUGGAGAUUUGAUAUUAGCAGAUAAAGGUUUCUUGAUUAAGGAAAUUCUCUCUGCAGGAUUAUCAUUAAAUAUACCUCCAUUUUUAAAUUAACAACCCCACAGCUUACAGAAUCCCAAGUAUAUGAAACUCAACAAAUUGCAAAGGCUAGAAUUCAUGUAGAAAGGGCCAUCAGAAGAAAAAAGUAUUAUAUUUUGUAGCAACAUCAAUCAUAUUAUAUAUCACAAAUUUCAACUGUGUGCAGCCCUCACAAACUUGCAAUAUCCCCCAAUUAAAGAGGUUAAGGGAGUAUUAUUGGUAGACUUGAUUUGAUACAAUUAUUGUUAAAAGUAAUAAUAAUACUGUUUUUCUAAUUUAAUAAAAGCCUGUGAAUCCAACCACAAUUUUCAUAAAGUGAACAAAUACAAUAUGAUUUCUUGAUAGUAGUCUUUACAAUCCUCAAAUAAAUUAUUAAGCCAUAA
Diorhabda sublineata is the source of this 1355-nucleotide long non-coding RNA. RefSeq lists it as uncharacterized. The record is from RefSeq and is a predicted model, not a curated record. NCBI's taxonomy places the organism in Eukaryota, Metazoa, Arthropoda, Insecta, Coleoptera, Chrysomelidae. The transcript is spliced from 3 exons.